This 254-nucleotide ribosomal RNA is filed under the name uncultured bacterium. Its description in RNAcentral is "partial 16S ribosomal RNA". It matches the Rfam family "Bacterial small subunit ribosomal RNA", at positions 524 to 776 of the family's 1533-position model. The record is from RNAcentral.
UACGGGGGGGGCAAGCGUUGUUCGGAAUUACUGGGCGUAAAGGGCUCGUAGGCGGUCAGCACAAGUCAGUUGUGAAAUCUCCGGGCUUAACUCGGAAAGGUCAGCCGAUACUGCGGGGCUAGAGUGCAGAAGGGGCAACUGGAAUUCUCGGUGUAGCGGUGAAAUGCGUAGAUAUCGAGAGGAACACCUGCGGCGAAGGCGGGUUGCUGGGCUGACACUGACGCUGAGGCGCGAAAGCUAGGGGAGCGAACGGG